RNA transcript from Cuculus canorus (common cuckoo), 5189 nucleotides. It is a transcript of the gene named histamine receptor H2, with no coding region annotated. The transcript is spliced from 4 exons. NCBI's taxonomy places the organism in Eukaryota, Metazoa, Chordata, Aves, Cuculiformes, Cuculidae. The record is from RefSeq and is a predicted model, not a curated record.
GAGAGGAGGCAAAGCAGCCGCCACUCGCAGCACGCGCUUCUGCCUUCACAAAUUGAACUGCACAAGCCGGAGGAAAGUUGGUGUCUGUGCUGCCUCCAAGAGCUCUCAACUGCUUAGGGGAUGGGGAAAAGCAGCACCUUUCCCAGGUUGUCCUUGGGAAGUGACAAAGCUCUGCCACUGCUGGAGAGUUGCUGAAUGCUGUCACCAACCAAAUAUGCAGAGCACAUGAGACCUCAUAGGGCCUGACCCCAUGGCUGCUCAGAGGCAAGGAGAAGGCAGAAGAGGAAAACGGAGCAAGCAAGACCCAGCAGCAGCUGCCGAGCAGGAUCAGCUCCAGCACUGAGCUCCCAGGUUGGGCCAACAGGCACAAGUGAGUCACAGGGCCACAUCUUUCCCUAGACCAUGUCAUCUGUACCAUACAAGGCUGAGCAUAUGAAGUGGCUCUGAAAUGUUCUCCAAGGUCUCUGUAGGUCCAACGACACUUCGGAAAGGGCUCUAAGGCUGCCCGGUAGAGGAUCACUGCAAGAAGAUUUGGAGUCAGUGAGAGCGGGACUGCUCCAUCCAUGAGACUGCAGUAUGGAUCCGUGUUACAACCACACAAGCCCUCAAGAAAGGAUGAGCUUCCCCCUGCAGCUGCUGGUUGGGUCCUGCCUCACCAUCCUCAUCGUCAUCACUCUCUGCGGUAACAUCAUCGUCUGCCUGGCAGUCACCCUUGACCGCCGGCUCCGCAACUUGACAAACUGCAUCAUCGUCUCCUUGGCCAUCACUGACCUGCUUCUGGGACUCCUGGUGCUGCCAUUCUCUGCCUUCUAUGAACUCGCCAAAGAGUGGCCCUUUGGCAGCACUUUGUGCAACAUCUACACUAGCCUGGAUGUCAUGUUGUGCACAGCUUCCAUCCUCAACCUCUUCAUGAUCAGCCUGGACCGCUACUUUGCUGUCACCACCCCACUCCGUUACAGCCAGCUUGUCACUCCUGCUCGGGUGGCUGUUGGCUUGGUCAUUAUUUGGACAGUUUCGCUCAUGGUCUCCUUCCUACCCAUCUACCUGGGCUGGAACACUAAUGGGACAGCAGUCCAAAACACAGCCCCCAACUGCAACAAUGAAUGUAUUCUGGAGGUGAACCCUGUAUAUGGCCUAGUGGAUGCCUUGCUCACCUUCUACGUCCCUUUGGUCAUCAUGUGCAUCACCUACUACCGGAUAUUUAAGAUAGCAAGGGAACAAGCCAAAAGGAUAAACCACACGUGGUGCUGCAGCAGCAACGCCCCAAUGCCACCCAUGGUGAAAGAGCACAAAGCCACUGUGACACUGGCAGUAGUGUUGGGAGCAUUCAUUGUGUGCUGGUUCCCCUAUUUCACAGUGUUCACCUACCGGGGGAUGUGGGGGGACAGCAGGGUGAAAGGCACACCAAUGUCCAUCGUCCUCUGGCUGGGCUACGCCAACUCAGCCCUGAACCCCAUCCUCUAUGGGACGCUCAACAGGGAUUUCCGUGUGGCGUACCAGCACUUGCUGCACUGCUGGAGGAUCGGGGGCUCCAGGAGCCCCCACCUGCCUCCCCUCCAGAAGGCCCAGUCCAGGGGCAGGAGCUGCAGGCAGGGCCAGGGCAAGCAAGAGGGUAAACCCCUGAAGCUGGAGAUGAGGAACGGGAAGGGGAUCUUGCUGACGGAUGGAGCCCUCAAGAGUGCCGGAACUUUCCCAGGAGUCUCAGCCAGCCCACUGCCCUAGGACCCACAUCUCCCAGCCUUCUGACUCCCAGUCACCCUCUUCCAAAUCCUGUGAGGUUGAAAGGACAACACUCACGUUUUCCUCAGGGAGAAACUCAACGGCAGAGGAUUCUUUCUCUGGCAUACAGCAUUUGCUCCAGCCCCAGGAACUGCUGAAGAGACCUUUGUCUGCCUAAGUUUCUUCCCAGGAGGGUGGUGUGUUUGAAGAGCCCUUGGAGGAGCUGCAAAGAGCCUCAUGCCUGCCUCAUCAGGGCCAUGACACCGCCAGCGUCGAGCCCUGCACCAGCAGGCGGUGGUGACCCAAGAGCUGGGUCAGGAGCCAGAGCGUGCAGCCGGCGGGGCCAGGAUGGGGCUGUCCUCCCCAGAUCCCAGCCAGCGGGUCAGGCUAAGAAAGCAGAGUGAAAAGGAGCUGCACUUGAGAUCUUGGUGCCAGGCAGACCAGCCUAGGACAAAGAAGGGAAACACAGGCACUAUCCUCGCUGAUGCCCUGUCCAAGGGAUGUAUCCACCCUUUGGAGCACCAGGGGUCCUAACAGAGGGGUGGGCAAUGUGGCAGGAGGGCUAGGCACGAUGGAUGUAGGUCAGCCACAAGUGCCAGAUGUCCAUGCACAGGACAUCCAAUCCUGCAGCAUCCACGCCAGGGCAAGACUGCCUCCCAUGUGUCUGGGCAUCGUCAGGGCUGCCUCUGUUCUCUGUGUCUGCUCCACAAACCCUGUCCCAGACCCACAGCAAGGACAGACACCCUGGAGCUGGCUGGGACAUGAGGAAACACUAAGCAGCUGGGGUUUGUCCCCGAGUCUUCCCCAGCAGCUCAACACUAGGAAUGCCAAAACAGGGCGUUUCUGCACUGAGCCUGUGCAAAAGUCAUCAGUGGCAUAAAAAUCUAUUUAACACACAGGGAAAAAUGACAUGAUUGAUUUAUUUAGGCAUGUUCUGUCCCAGAAAGUGUCCCUGUCCCCUUAUACUCUCCUGUCCCAUUGCCAUAUGUCUGCUGGGCAGAGCCUGAACACAAAAACACAGGCCCCCACGACACAGAUUGCAGCCGUCCCAGACAGGCUGGCAUCCUCCCCAGAGAGCACCUUCCCUGUAGGACCAGCUAGACAAUGCCCUCCCCAGUCCCUGAGCUGGUGGGAAUAAGGAGGCAGCAAGCAGUGAGGAUGAGGUAGGAUAGGAAGGAACAAGAAGUCCCUGCUGCGCUGCAGAGCAAGAGUUCUCCUACUAAAAUAAGCCUGACACGCAUCACCCCUGGGCACAGCAUCUUCGUUCUGCACCCCACAGCAUCCCCGGGACACAGCGGGGGCAGGCAAACCCCAGUUUCCAGCAUCUCCCCGGCAAGGGAGGAUGCUCAGCCCCCAGGACAAGUGGUUCCAUGCUUGCCGGGGCUCUGCCCUGGCAGGGAGAACAGGCAAGGGCAGAGCUCGGUCUCAGCUGCUCCGGGACACUCCUGCCCCGAGCUUCGGGUGUAGGGAAGGGGCCAGGCUGGGAUGCCUGACCCCCCUCGGGGAGCAGGGGACACCGGUGCUGCCGCUUUGCCGCUCCCCACCGCGGGCUCGGAGCUCCCCCUGCUUGCUGCCGCCGACAGCCCUGCCCGCCGGCCCCCGGCUCGCUCACACCAAGGGGUUUCACCCCAACACACGGGGCUGGGGGCCCCGAAUCCCCCCCGGCUCGGGCAGGGCUCCCCUGGACCCGGCACAGCCCCCCCCGGAGCCACCGCAGAGCUCAGCUGCAGCUCCCGCCGCUCGCACCGCCGCGGGUUUGGCUCUCCCACCGGUAAUCAGUGAUUGCAAAGAGCAAUUGGCUUCCAAAGAGGGCUGCGGGGGUGGGCUGCAGCCCCAGUGCCCCACAGCACCCAGCCCGGGCAGCCCAGAGCCCCACCAAAGCAUCAGAAGCCUGCAGUGAGGUGAUGGGCAACAUCCAUCCCCUCCCCUGGGAACAGGGAGCUACAAGCAUCCUGGACCCCUGCCACCCCCAGAGUCAAGUCUCAGCACCCGCCACUUGCACCUCUGUGGGUUUGGCCCUUCCACUGGUGCUUGCAAAGAGCAAUCGUCUUCCAAAGAGCACAGAGGGCUGGGGAGGUGGGCUGCAGCCCCAGUGCCCCACAGCACCCAGCCCGGGCAGCGCUGAGCCCCAUCAAAGCAUCGUUGGGCAAGGAGAAGCCUGCAGCAAAGGGAUGUCCAGGCAGCCAACAUCCCAUCCCAUCUCAUCCCAUCCCCUUCCCUCCCAAGUCCUCCUGCACGCAGCCUGGGGAUGGGGCGCUACAAGUGUCCUGGCGUGAGCAGUUCACAGCAGAAGAAGAAAUUACCUCAUCAGCAUCUUCUUUUGCAGAGAGCCAGGAAACCACUCCCUGCAGCUGAGCAUGCAGAGGACUCAUGUUCUCCAAACAAACCAGACAGGAGCAGGCCUUGAAACGCCUCUAGCAUCCACACUUCACUCCAUCUCAGGGAGGAAGAACUGACAAACACACACCCAAACCUUCACCACCUAUGAUAACAAUUAGAGACUUAUCUAAUUGCAAAAAUAAUUGCAAUUGAAGUGUUUAAUUACCAUACUAAGCAGGAAGAGCUGCUUCCGACUGUUCCAGUAGCACUCCUGAUCCAUCAAACAAGGUUUGGGGCUUGUUUGGGUGUUGGGUUCCUUUUUUGAUUAUUAGAUUGCAGCCCCAGGGGAUGGAGAGAUUUUCUAAUUAGGGUCUUGGAGAACAGCUACCAAUUCACAAACACUUGCUUUUAAUUUCAAUACUAACGAGGUUGGAAGGGGGAGAAAUCCAAAAUGCAGAACAGCUGUGGUGGUGGCUGGCUGCAGCUCAGCUGCCCCGAGCUCCUCACAGGGCUGGCAGAGGUCUGACACCGCUUGGUGCAUGGAACGGUCCAGUAGCAGUGGGGUGGGGUGGCACAGUGCAAGGACAGCCAAGGUGAAGCUGACACUCCAGGUCACUGCUGUCAUCAUAGUCAUUGUACAAGCUAAUCCCAGCAUUGAUCAUCUACCUGAUCUCUCAUGGGCCAUUGACCCUGGUGACUUUCUCCAGUGCUGGGCUAAUCCUGGUCCUGGAGCUGCAGUGCCAGCCCUAGGGGGUGCAGCAGCAGGAACUUCUCCAGGUGCCAUUCAGUUUUGUUCUUCCCUAAACCGACAACAAAAGACAAUUUAAUUCUCUCUCCAAGCAGUAAUUCUGAGAGGGAAGAGAAACUGCUUAGGAAGCUUCUUACCAACAUCUGCUUUCUCAGAUAGGAGAUAUCCCCCCGCUAGCAGUGGGAGCGUAGAUAGGGACAGCUGCCAAGUGUGCAGGAACACCCCCAUCCCUGCUGUCCUUGCAGGGGAUGCAGGAGCCCAUACUCCCCUGGUUUACAGCACCUCAUCCUCACCCUGCUCCACCAGCCUGGACCCACGGUUCCUGGCUGGGCUUCUCUCACUGAAACACCAUUCUUGUCCUCACCACAGCUCUGAGUAAGGUCAAAAAACAUGCAGAGAGGAG